Molecule: ribosomal RNA, 43 nt
Filed under: Renibacterium salmoninarum
Lineage: Bacteria; Bacillati; Actinomycetota; Actinomycetes; Micrococcales; Micrococcaceae
Description: partial 23S ribosomal RNA
Source: RNAcentral
GUUCAAGUUUUUAAGGGCACACGGUGAAUGCCUUGGCAUUAGG